RNAcentral lists this long non-coding RNA (782 nucleotides) under Apteryx owenii (little spotted kiwi). RNAcentral's name for it is "lncRNA (ENSAOWG00000015949.1)". The record is from RNAcentral. Lineage: Eukaryota; Metazoa; Chordata; Aves; Apterygiformes; Apterygidae.
ACACGGAAGUGCCUACUACUCCUGUUGCCUCUGUGCAGGGAUCCAUUACUGGGGUGCUGCCAGAGGUUCCCAAAUGGAUAUCUUAACUAUUCAUGGAUAGGCACUUCAAUGCAGGCACAUACAAUCUGGCUAAAAAAAGCAGAGAGAGCUAGAAGACCACGUCUGCCUAUAAUCGAGGCAUCCUGUUGGAGAAGGAGGAGGAGAUGCCAGGGCAGCUAGAUGUUAAACUACUGCAGACUUGUAUGUUCAGCAAGGUAAAGGAGAGCAAAGCGCUCUCAUUCCCCCACCCCGCCCCCGCUCUUCCCAGAGCAAUAUGCUACCAGACUUGAAGGAGGCAGAGGUCGAACAAUUGAGGCAAUCUUAGACUUAUAAGACAAAGUUUUCAAAGCCAAGCUGAACUCUUUUUUCAGGUGGAAAGGCAGGCUCUCCGACUCGGUGCGGGAUGCAGAGAAAGGGCAGGAGAACAAAGCGGUUUCUUGUCCGUGGCUACUGCAAAGCUGCAGUGAGGUCAGUAACAAGCAUUUGUGGCGCAAUGCUAUCACAAAAGAAAUCUUCCAAAGAAAUCAUAAGACCGUGCCAGGAAAAUUGAAAAUCAUGCACUCCAGGCCUUGGAGAGAAUGGCAGAGGAGGGCAGCUUGCUCCAGGUUUGCCUCACACCCUGUUCCUUUUGGACAGCUUGUAUAUGCUGUUGCUAGUAACACAAUGGCAAAGGCAUUGUGUAUGGAUGUGGCCUCCAAGUAUAGGAUGUGGUAACUCUGUUAUUGGGAGCAGCUGUUGAAGAG